Long non-coding RNA from Stegastes partitus (bicolor damselfish), 3920 nucleotides. RefSeq lists it as uncharacterized. The record is from RefSeq and is a predicted model, not a curated record. The transcript is spliced from 4 exons. Lineage: Eukaryota; Metazoa; Chordata; Actinopteri; Pomacentridae.
UGAACCACACCUCUCCUCUCGCCCAGAGUCGCCAACCCUCUACUGGAAGCUUCACCUUCUUCAACAGUGAUUCACAUUAUCACCUCGCUGCAAAGCAACGCUGUCCAAAACCAGCUCAAGACGAAAGCAGCAUCAGUCAUAGAAGUUGCUGCUAAUUCCACCAAAUAGAGGCGUCUGUGACCGGAGCAGAUGCCGGCUGAAAAACCUCCUGGAUGAAUCGAUUUGUUUUUCUUCAGAAGGAAUGGACUGUCGGCGGGGUUGUUUUCUCUUUUACCUGUUGCAUCUUAGAGGGCUGACCGCUGCACAGGAAAGAGAUCCUGCAUCUUGUUCAUGAAUCCAGUCCACCAUGAAGGUGGCUGCUGCUGUUGUUUGGAUCUUCGUCAGUCUGCUGCUGGUUUCACACGUCAGCAGAGGCCAGAAGCCCAGCGAUGACUCCAUCCACGCCUCCCACGUCGUGCUGUUCAGUGCGAGCGCUCAGGGCUUCACCAGCCUCAUGCUGCUGUGCCUGACCGUCGUCCUCUCUGGCAGCGUCUACCUGUGGGUCCUCAGAUACGUCUGCGUCGGCUGCUGCCAGCCCGUCCCAGUCGGCACCGAAUCAGAGGCCCUGGCAGGAGUGGUGUGAAGCCAUCAGCCUCUGUCUGGCUCGCUUAGAGUCACUCACAUGCGAGAAAACAAGUCAAGCGGGACGUUUAACUUUGUUUGCAGGUAAAAUCUACACACCUGUGAAUUGGCUUCGUUCACUCGAGACCUCAGACUUUCACAUAAGAGACAAUGUGCCUGACGGGUGACAUUUAAAGGGAGGAAAUAAAAGAUGAGUGCACAAAUCAGUAGCUGGUGCUCACUAAUCGACAGCUCUGGCCUCACUCCCAACCUUCCCCUGCCUGCCCAGACCUCACAUUAUUUUUCAGCGUUCACCUGAACUUUCUUUUUUUUUUCCAGUGUUGGAAAAGAACCAAGUUCAUAAAAGCUUUGUUGGCAUCGUUUUGUGCCCGAGUCAGAAAACUACAAACAGAAAAAUGACCACAAAUUGUUGACAAGUAUGAGACAGACGCGGCUGUACAGGUUCUUAUUAACGGAGAAUCUGUGUUUGAUCAGCAUGAGAAACGCUGCGAACAACCGGUUUGUGUCAAAUAAUGAGUUUGUAAAACAUCAUAAGCUCCAAGAGAGCACAUUAGUAAAAACCCAAAAAGCAUGUGUUAGCAAACAUUUGCCUUAUUACACAUCUAGCAGACCCAAUGUUAGCAUUUAUCGGAGUCAAGUCAGAGUCUUAUUUCAUUCUUCACUCUCCUUGUAGCUCUGUUUUGGUCUCUUUAGCUGCUGCUGCUCUGCUGUGCUCAUCAGGUAGUUUCUCACUUUGGUCUCAUCUGCUGUUUGCUAUGAUUAAUGUGAGCGUAAACGCUCUAAUUUACUGAUUUAGAUGAACCUUUUUAACUGUAUUUUUAAGGGGUUGGGCUGCACAAGUUGAUUUAGAUUAAAUUCAUGGUGCGUUAAAUGAAUAAAUUUGGUUUGACAAUUCAUAGGUCAGAAUGUCGAGCUCUCUCUCCGACCUACUUUACAUUAGAGCGACUUUUUGUUGUUGUUUAUUUGCCAACUUAAAACCUGAGUUUAUAAUUUUGAUAAUUAAAUGCAGAACAACUCCUUUUUAAAAUUAAUGGAAAUACUAGUUUAAUCAACUUGACUUUUUAAUGAGUAAUUAACUUAAAUGUGUGUUUAUGCUACAAUUCAUAACAAAAUGUAGUUUGUGAGUUGAACAUCAUUUCUUUAAAGGUUAUUAUAACUUUAAAUAUUGAUACAACCUGUUGUAUUACUUAUUUAUUUAGUUGUUUUUGUUCUGCUGAAACAUUUGGUUGUUUUUUGUAGUAAAGGAGAGCUUAGUUCUCUGCAGGUUUGUCACCAUCAGCAACACGUUACAUGACAUGCCGUCAUUUAUUCCAUUGGUAAUGUGAUCGUUUUUAUCUGUGCAGCUUUCAUAAUUCAUAUGUUCAUUAAUUCUAAAUUGAAUGUAAUACUUUGUGCUCUCAAGCUAAACCCACAGUUUAAAAAAGCUAUUUUAAAUGGAUAAAGACAACCCAAUAAUUAGAAUAAAUCUAACAGCAUAAAUACUGACAUAUGGAUCUUUCUCGGUACUAAACGGUGCAGACAGCCAGUGGAAGAACACCGAGGCUCUCCGUGUUCAAGGUAAACAAUAUUAUAAUUUAUUCUUUAAGCACAUAGGCAAACAAAAAGACCCACACAUGUCAACUCAAGGUCUUCUUCAGGGUCUGACAGACACGUAAUUAUAUAGCAGCCAUACAUGUGGCCCAGUGUCUAACCUGUAGAGUCCAUGACAGUCGCAUGUGGCCGCGCACACACUUGAAAGCUCCAAUUACUAAUAUGCAAAUGCACCAAUUUAAGAAGCUGUUUCACAAACUAAUGCAAAUGAGCCCAACGUGAGCAACGUGUGUGUUGCAUUAAAACUGGUUUUACGCCUCGACAUGCUUUUGCUUCGGCUUACUGAGUUUAUCUAUUUUUUACUGUACAUGUACAAAGAACUGAAGACACAAACAUACGUCUUUGUUUAUAUGAAUAAAAGAGGAUAGAAAGCAAAGCUAUGACCCUUUUCUUUAUUACAGCCUGACAGUUCUUCUAUAGCUCUGCCCUGUUCGAUUCUCCUUUAAUUCAUCUCUCAGUCAGACCCUUGUACUCUUAACUCCGCUCUAUCUGCCUGUUGGUGCCGUCUGCAUCUGCCGCUGAAUAAAUAUGAAAACACCAUCUCAGAGUGAAGAUGGGUCACCUCUCAGCCCGCCUGAAUAAUGGACCGAGCACAUCUGCAAGACGGCCGCCAAUUAAACUUGAUCAGUCUCAUAAUUCAACAGAUUCAAAUCUCCUAAAAGCCGGAUAAAUGAAUAAGUGAUCUGAAAGAAUUCUGAGCAGGCAGGAGGCUUCACAGCGGCACCGUUUCAUAUUUUAGUCCAGAAUUAUACAUGUACAAACAAAUGCACGGCCUCUCGCACACUUCAUCACACACACCAGCAUGUUGACAGAAGAAUAAAUCUGAAUUCUGCGCAGAGGAACUUUAAUGAAUGAAGUUUUUAAAGUUGAAAGCUCUUAUUGAUUUAUACAAGUUUCAACAUUUAUAGCUCAGACUGAUCUGAAAUCUGCUGCUGACAGACUGUCAGACAGAUACGAGCUUCACAGCUGCAUAAAGAUGCUGAUAAUUGGCCGUGUUGCUUUUUAUCGGUAUGUAAAAUGUGAUUUGGUUAUUGUGAGAUGAAAUGUUGAAAUCUGUUUAGUUUUUAUAUGAUUGAUCAACAGGAAAAUAACUGUAGAACUCACAAAUAUAAAGAUCAUUGUGUCUGGACACAAACACAAAUUGCAUCAAGAGGAUUUUACAGAAAACCUGUAGUUUGGUAAUACAUCAUUCAUUAUAUAUCUAUAUAUUACUCAGACUUGUGUGUGACUUUGCACAUUUUCCUUUGUGCCUGGUAACUCUAUGCCAAUGUAGAAAUAAAGUUUGUGGUGUCUUAAAUAAAUUAAAUGAUUCUUGAUUUAAUUAAAUCUAAAAAUUAUAUAGAAUGGAAUUUAUUUUAUAAUUGUGUAUAAAUCACUUUUUAAACGUAAAUGAGAAAAACCUGGACCUAGUUCUGAGGACAUUAUUAUUUUAAUGUAAAUUAAUGCACAUAUUUAUUUAUUUUUUGCAUUUGUUUUAAAUUGUUUUAUUCUCUAUUAUUAGUAUAAUUUUGUUUUAAAAUAAUAAUUAUACAUUUGCUCAUAAUUACUAUAUACAAACAGUAUAAUUAUAUAUUAUGCAUGUUGUUCUAUAAUUAUACACAAUAAUAUAUAAUUAUUAUUUUGAUAUGUUCGAUGCAUCUCCUUCUCAUCUGCAAAGACUCGGAUCAGCUCUAAUCUGUAUGAAUGUGAAUAAAAUGUGAUGGAUUUGG